This 253-nucleotide ribosomal RNA is filed under the name uncultured bacterium. RNAcentral describes it as "partial 16S ribosomal RNA". It matches the Rfam family "Bacterial small subunit ribosomal RNA", at positions 524 to 776 of the family's 1533-position model. The record is from RNAcentral.
UACGUAGGGCGCAAGCGUUGUCCGGAAUUAUUGGGCGUAAAGAGCUCGUAGGCGGCUUGUCGCGUCGGAUGUGAAAGCCCGGGGCUUAACCCCGGGUCUGCAUUCGAUACGGGCAGGCUAGAGUUCGGUAGGGAAGAUCGGAAUUCCUGGUGUAGCGGUGAAAUGCGCAGAUAUCAGGAGGAACACCGGUGGCGAAGGCGGAUCUCUGGGCCGAUACUGACGCUGAGGAGCGAAAGCGUGGGGAGCGAACAGG